Molecule: ribosomal RNA, 1081 nt
Filed under: Campylobacter jejuni
Lineage: Bacteria; Pseudomonadati; Campylobacterota; Epsilonproteobacteria; Campylobacterales; Campylobacteraceae
Description: partial 23S ribosomal RNA
Rfam family: Bacterial large subunit ribosomal RNA
Source: RNAcentral
UAAAAAAAGGUAAGCUACUAAGAGCGAAUGGUGGAUGCCUUGACUGGUAAAGGCGAUGAAGGACGUACUAGACUGCGAUAAGCUACGGGGAGCUGUCAAGAAGCUUUGAUCCGUAGAUUUCCGAAUGGGGCAACCCAAUGUAUAGAGAUAUACAUUACCUAUAUAGGAGCGAACGAGGGGAAUUGAAACAUCUUAGUACCCUCAGGAAAAGAAAUCAAUAGAGAUUGCGUCAGUAGCGGCGAGCGAAAGCGCAAGAGGGCAAACCCAGUGCUUGCACUGGGGGUUGUAGGACUGCAAUGUGCAAGAGCUGAGUUUAGCAGAACAUUCUGGAAAGUAUAGCCAUAGAGGGUGAUAGUCCCGUAUGCGAAAAACAAAGCUUAGCUAGCAGUAUCCUGAGUAGGGCGGGACACGAGGAAUCCUGUCUGAAUCCGGGUCGACCACGAUCCAACCCUAAAUACUAAUACCAGAUCGAUAGUGCACAAGUACCGUGAGGGAAAGGUGAAAAGAACUGAGGUGAUCAGAGUGAAAUAGAACCUGAAACCAUUUGCUUACAAUCAUUCAGAGCACUAUGUAGCAAUACAGUGUGAUGGACUGCCUUUUGCAUAAUGAGCCUGCGAGUUGUGGUGUCUGGCAAGGUUAAGCAAACGCGAAGCCGUAGCGAAAGCGAGUCUGAAUAGGGCGCUUAGUCAGAUGCUGCAGACCCGAAACGAAGUGAUCUAUCCAUGAGCAAGUUGAAGCUAGUGUAAGAACUAGUGGAGGACUGAACCCAUAGGCGUUGAAAAGCCCCGGGAUGACUUGUGGAUAGGGGUGAAAGGCCAAUCAAACUUCGUGAUAGCUGGUUCUCUCCGAAAUAUAUUUAGGUAUAGCGUUGUGUCGUAAUAUAAGGGGGUAGAGCACUGAAUGGGCUAGGGCAUACACCAAUGUACCAAACCCUAUCAAACUCCGAAUACCUUAUAUGUAAUCACAGCAGUCAGGCGGCGAGUGAUAAAAUCCGUCGUCAAGAGGGAAACAACCCAGACUACCAGCUAAGGUCCCUAAAUCUUACUUAAGUGGAAAACGAUGUGAAGUUACUUAAACAACC